AAGUCGUAACAAGGUUUCCGUAGGUGAACCUGCGGAAGGAUCAUUACCGAGUACCGGGUCCUUGGGCCCUUACUCCCACCCUUUGUGUACCUACCGAUUUUUCGUUGCCUCGGCGGGGUCGAUCCCCAGGGCCUGCCGGCCCUGUGGGGGACCUGCCGGGGGGACACCCCAAAACUCUUGUCAACAGUGACGUCUGAGAAAAAACAAACUAGUCAAAACUUUCAACAACGGAUCUCUUGGUUCUG
This 245-nucleotide unclassified non-coding RNA is filed under the name Tubeufia cerea. RNAcentral's name for it is "partial internal transcribed spacer region". The stretch from base 1 to 46 matches the Rfam family "Eukaryotic small subunit ribosomal RNA", at positions 1786 to 1831 of the family's 1831-position model. Lineage: Eukaryota; Fungi; Ascomycota; Dothideomycetes; Tubeufiales; Tubeufiaceae. The record is from RNAcentral.